RNAcentral lists this ribosomal RNA (812 nucleotides) under uncultured bacterium. RNAcentral's name for it is "bacterial SSU rRNA". It matches the Rfam family "Bacterial small subunit ribosomal RNA", at positions 45 to 851 of the family's 1533-position model. The record is from RNAcentral.
GGCUUAACACAUGCAAGUCGAGCGGGGAAGGGUAGCUUGCUACCUGACCUAGCGGCGGACGGGUGAGUAAUGCUUAGGAAUCUGCCUAUUAGUGGGGGACAACAUUCCGAAAGGAAUGCUAAUACCGCAUACGCCCUACGGGGGAAAGCAGGGGAUCUUCGGACCUUGCGCUAAUAGAUGAGCCUAAGUCAGAUUAGCUAGUUGGUGGGGUAAAGGCCUACCAAGGCGACGAUCUGUAGCGGGUCUGAGAGGAUGAUCCGCCACACUGGGACUGAGACACGGCCCAGACUCCUACGGGAGGCAGCAGUGGGGAAUAUUGGACAAUGGGCGAAAGCCUGAUCCAGCCAUGCCGCGUGUGUGAAGAAGGCCUUUUGGUUGUAAAGCACUUUAAGCGAGGAGGAGGCUACUUGGAUUAAUACUCUAGGAUAGUGGACGUUACUCGCAGAAUAAGCACCGGCUAACUCUGUGCCAGCAGCCGCGGUAAUACAGAGGGUGCGAGCGUUAAUCGGAUUUACUGGGCGUAAAGCGUGCGUAGGCGGCUUUUUAAGUCGGAUGUGAAAUCCCUGAGCUUAACUUAGGAAUUGCAUUCGAUACUGGGAAGCUAGAGUAUGGGAGAGGAUGGUAGAAUUCCAGGUGUAGCGGUGAAAUGCGUAGAGAUCUGGAGGAAUACCGAUGGCGAAGGCAGCCAUCUGGCCUAAUACUGACGCUGAGGUACGAAAGCAUGGGGAGCAAACAGGAUUAGAUACCCUGGUAGUCCAUGCCGUAAACGAUGUCUACUAGCCGUUGGGGCCUUUGAGGCUUUAGUGGCGCAG